Molecule: long non-coding RNA, 1264 nt
Organism: Nerophis lumbriciformis (worm pipefish)
Lineage: Eukaryota; Metazoa; Chordata; Actinopteri; Syngnathiformes; Syngnathidae
Source: RefSeq, a predicted model, not a curated record
UAAAUUUUCCUUUUUUUCUUUGGAUUGAAUUAAGCAUUUUUAAGCAAAAAAAUUGAAGUCUUAAUAAUUUCUGUAACACAAAUUUGAAGUAUUUUGCUAAAACAUUAAAAAUCCCUUUGGUAUCUUGUAUAAAUAGCUUCUUUUUUGUUGUUUAAUAAUUUAAGUAGAAUCAUUUCAAUAUGUACAUAAGGGUUUUAUUAAUUUUAAUUUUUAAAAUUGUACUAUUCUACUGUUUUUUUUGACUGAAAUAAGCAUUUUUAAGGAUAAAAAUGGCAAAAAUUGCCCAAACCAAUCAGAGCGUGCUGUUCAGUAUUAUGGCUCAGCCUCAGACAGCAUUACUAUGUGGUAUUAAAAGGUGACUUAAGGAGACUUAUAUAAUGCGAAAAGGGCUCCCGUAAGCCUAUUUAAAAGGUUGUAAAUGUUUUUUUAUGCUCUCGCUACAAACAUAUUUGAUUUAUAAUUCCUACUUUGCAGACAUGUAUUCACCACCAUCAGGCCUGGAACCAAUAAACUGUGAUUUCUCCUAAAAUGUUUUUGUUCAAUGUGACUUUCAGCAAUCGUGUCUCCUGUCCUGAAAAUAAACAUUUGUGCUUUUCCUCCACCGAGAUCCAAACUUCUCACAUAUUCCGUUCAAUUCAGUCCAAAAACUGUUCAGUCAGAAAACUGAACAGGUUGGAAUUAAUUUCGACAACAAGCAAUGUUUCAAGUCACUUUUGAGAAGUUUGUCAAUAGUCAAAAGUAAUAAAUGACUUCCAAGCGGUCAGUGACGCAAAGUCCAGUUUUGUUGACCAGACCUCCUCCCAUGACCUUUUAUCUUUUGUGGAGUUUCCAAUUGCACCACAUUGCCUCUUUUGCCAACCUGCCAAGCCCCGCCUCCUCUGCCACGACGUGAGAGGGGGCGGAGACUAAGUCCGGUAUAGCUGCCGACUCCCCCCACAAUUCGCUGAAGAUGGACGGACGGACGCUGCGACGACUGGUGUGUGUGUGCUUGCUGUGUGAGGUCGGAGGUCAGCUGCCAUGGCAAGACUUAUUCCGCAGACCCCUACUGCAGAUGCACAUCGGACGACCUUUUGUACCUCAGCAGGUGGUCCCACAAGCAGAUGUCCCCAGGUGAGAACCACAAUCACAAGUUUUAUUAGAAUCUUUGAAGUCUUUCAGGUACUCUCUCAGUCUUCUUUGUCCAAUGAAACAUUUUACUGUGUAGCGGAGACUACUAUUACUAUUACUAUUACUAUUUAUAUAACUGUAUACUAUUACUAUUACU